RNAcentral lists this ribosomal RNA (397 nucleotides) under uncultured bacterium. RNAcentral's name for it is "bacterial SSU rRNA". It matches the Rfam family "Bacterial small subunit ribosomal RNA", at positions 28 to 420 of the family's 1533-position model. The record is from RNAcentral.
GAUGAACGCUGGCGGCAGGCCUAAUACAUGCAAGACGAACGGUAAGUUGAGUAGCAAUACUUAGCCAAGAGUGUCGUACGGGUGCGUAACACGUAUGCAACCUACCCUAUACAGGAGGAUAGCCUAGGGAACCUGGAUUAACCCUUCAUAGUAUUAUUGGAUGGCAUCAUUUGAUAAUUAAACUAGAGGUGGUAUAGGAUGGGCAUGCGUCUGAUUAGCUAGUUGGUGAGGUAAAGGACUCACCAAGGCGACGAUCAGUAGCUGGUCUGAGAGGACGACCAGCCACACUGGAACUGAGACACGGUCCAGACUCCUACGGGAGGCAGCAGUGGGGGAAUUUUGGACAAAUGGGCGCAAGCCUGAUCCAGCCAUUCCGCGUGAGUGAAGAAGGCCUCGG